RNAcentral lists this ribosomal RNA (757 nucleotides) under uncultured organism. Its description in RNAcentral is "bacterial SSU rRNA". It matches the Rfam family "Bacterial small subunit ribosomal RNA", at positions 692 to 1446 of the family's 1533-position model. The record is from RNAcentral.
AGAUAUCGGGAAGAACACCGGUGGCGAAGGCGGCCUGCUGGGACAGUGCUGACGCUGAGGCACGAAAGCGUGGGGAGCGAACGGGAUUAGAUACCCCGGUAGUCCACGCCGUAAACGAUGGAUACUAGAUGUUGGACACGCUGAAGUGUUCAGUGUCGAAACAAAUGCGAUAAGUAUCCCGCCUGGGGAGUACGACCGCAAGGUUUAAACUCAAAGGAAUUGACGGGGGCCCGCACAAGCGGUGGAGCAUGUGGUUUAAUUCGAUGCAACGCGAAGAACCUUACCCGGAUUUGACAUCCUUCGGACCGUCUCUGGAGACAGAGACUUUCUCUUCGGAGACCGAAGUGACAGGUGCUGCAUGGCUGUCGUCAGCUCGUGUUGUGAAAUGUUGGGUUAAGUCCCGCAACGAGCGCAACCCUUGUUCUUAGUUGCCAGCAUUAAGAUGGGCACUCUAAGAAGACUGCCGAGGUUAACUCGGAGGAAGGUGGGGAUGACGUCAAGUCCUCAUGGCCCUUAUGUCCGGGGCUACACACGUGCUACAAUGGUAUAGACAGAGGGAAGCUACGCCGCAAGGCCACGCGGAUCCUCAAACUGUAUCACAGUUCGGAUCGGGGUCUGCAACUCGACCUCGUGAAGGUGGAAUCGCUAGUAAUCGCGGAUCAGCAUGCCGCGGUGAUAAGUUCCCGGGCCUUGUACACACCGCCCGUCACACCAUGGAAGUUGUCUUCACUGGAAGAUGCUGAGCCAGCCAGGCAGG